This 495-nucleotide ribosomal RNA is filed under the name uncultured bacterium. RNAcentral describes it as "partial 16S ribosomal RNA". It matches the Rfam family "Bacterial small subunit ribosomal RNA", at positions 28 to 507 of the family's 1533-position model. The record is from RNAcentral.
GACGAACGCUGGCGGCGUGCCUAAUACAUGCAAGUAGAACGCUGAAGGAGGAGCUUGCUUCUCUGGAUGAGUUGCGAACGGGUGAGUAACGCGUAGGUAACCUGCCUGGUAGCGGGGGAUAACUAUUGGAAACGAUAGCUAAUACCGCAUAACAGUAGAUAUCGCAUGAUAUCUACUUGAAAGGUGCAAUUGCAUCACUACCAGAUGGACCUGCGUUGUAUUAGCUAGUUGGUGAGGUAACGGCUCACCAAGGCGACGAUACAUAGCCGACCUGAGAGGGUGAGCGGCCACACUGGGACGGAGACACGGCCCAGACUCCUACGGGAGGCAGCAGUAGGGAAUCUUCGGCAAUGGACGGAAGUCUGACCGAGCAACGCCGCGUGAGUGAAGAAGGUUGUCGGAUCGUAAAGCUCUGUUGUAAGGGAAGAACGAGUGUGAGAGUGGAAAGUUCACACUGUGACGGUAUCUUACCAGAAAGGGACGGCUAACUACGUG